AACGAACGCUGGCGGCAUGCCUAACACAUGCAAGUCGAACGAGACCUUCGGGUCUAGUGGCGCACGGGUGCGUAACGCGUGGGAACCUGCCUUUAGGUUCGGAAUAACUCAGAGAAAUUUGAGCUAAUACCGGAUGAUGUCUUCGGACCAAAGAUUUAUCGCCUUUAGAUGGGCCCGCGUUGGAUUAGCUAGUUGGUGGGGUAAAGGCCUACCAAGGCGACGAUCCAUAGCUGGUCUGAGAGGAUGAUCAGCCACACUGGGACUGAGACACGGCCCAGACUCCUACGGGAGGGAGCAGUGGGGAAUAUUGGACAAUGGGCGAAAGCCUGAUCCAGCAAUGCCGCGUGAGUGAGGAAGGCCUUAGGGUUGUAAAGCUCUUUUACCCGAGAUGAUAAUGACAGUAUCGGGAGAAUAAGCGCCGGCUAACUCCGUG
This 433-nucleotide ribosomal RNA is filed under the name uncultured bacterium. Its description in RNAcentral is "partial 16S ribosomal RNA". It matches the Rfam family "Bacterial small subunit ribosomal RNA", at positions 29 to 507 of the family's 1533-position model. The record is from RNAcentral.